AGAGUUUGAUCCUGGCUCAGAUUGAACGCUGGCGGCAUGCCUUACACAUGCAAGUCGAACGGCAGCAUGACGUGUAGCAAUACACGUUGAUGGCGAGUGGCGAACGGGUGAGUAAUAUAUCAGAACGUGUCCUGUAGCGGGGGGAUAACCUAUCGAAAGAUGGACUAAUACCGCAUACGCUCUACGGAGGAAAGCGGGGGUCGCAAGACCUCGCACUAUAGGAGCGGCCGAUAUCGGAUUAGCUAGUUGGCGGGGUAAAAGCCCACCAAGGCGACGAUCCGUAGCUGGUCUGAGAGGAUGAUCAGCCACACUGGAACUGAGACACGGUCCAGACUCCUACGGGAGGCAGCAGUGGGGAAUUUUGGACAAUGGGCGCAAGCCUGAUCCAGCCAUGCCGCGUGAGUGAAGAAGGCCUUCGGGUUGUAAAGCUCUUUCGGCAGGAACGAAAUGGUUCGUGUUAAUACCACGGACUGAUGACGGUACCUGAAGAAGAAGCACCGGCUAACUACGUGCCAGCAGCCGCGGUAAUACGUAGGGUGCAGGCGUUAAUCGGAAUUACUGGGCGUAAAGCGUGCGCAGGCGGUUUCUUAAGUCAGAUGUGAAAGCCCCGGGCUUAACCUGGGAACUGCGUUUGAAACUGGGAGACUUGAGUGUGGCAGAGGGGGGUGGAAUUCCACGUGUAGCAGUGAAAUGCGUAGAUAUGUGGAGGAACACCGAUGGCGAAGGCAGCCCCCUGGGUUAACACUGACGCUCAUGCACGAAAGCGUGGGGAGCAAACAGGAUUAGAUACCCUAGUAGUCC
RNAcentral lists this ribosomal RNA (801 nucleotides) under uncultured bacterium. RNAcentral describes it as "bacterial SSU rRNA". It matches the Rfam family "Bacterial small subunit ribosomal RNA", at positions 8 to 796 of the family's 1533-position model. The record is from RNAcentral.